Molecule: ribosomal RNA, 468 nt
Filed under: uncultured bacterium
Lineage: Bacteria
Description: partial 16S ribosomal RNA
Rfam family: Bacterial small subunit ribosomal RNA
Source: RNAcentral
GACGAACGCUGGCGGCGUGCUUAACACAUGCAAGUCGAACGGAAAGGCCCUGCUUUUGUGGGGUGCUCGAGUGGCGAACGGGUGAGUAACACGUGAGUAACCUGCCCUUGACUUUGGGAUAACUUCAGGAAACUGGGGCUAAUACCGGAUAGGAGCUCCUGCUGCAUGGUGGGGGUUGGAAAGUUUCGGCGGUUGGGGAUGGACUCGCGGCUUAUCAGCUUGUUGGUGGGGUAGUGGCUUACCAAGGCUUUGACGGGUAGCCGGCCUGAGAGGGUGACCGGCGCCAUGGGGACUGAGGUACGGCCCAGACGCCUACGGGAGGCAGCAGUGGGGAAUAUUGCACAAUGGGCGGAAGCCUGAUGCAGCAACGCCGCGUGCGGGAUGACGGCCUUCGGGUUGUAAACCGCUUUCGCCUGUGACGAAGCGUGAGUGACGGUAAUGGGUAAAGAAGCACCGGCUAACUACGUG